CCUACGGGAGGCAGCAGUGGGGAAUAUUGGGCAAUGGAGGCAACUCUGACCCAGCAACGCCGCGUGAAUGAUGAAGGUCUUCGGAUUGUAAAGUUCUGUGAUGGGGGAUGAACACAAUGACGGUACCCCAAUAGCAAGCCACGGCUAACUACGUGCCAGCAGCCGCGGUAAUACGUAGGUGGCAAGCGUUAUCCGGAAUGACUGGGCGGAAAGCGUGCGUAGGUGGGUUAGUAAGUUGGCGGUGUAAUUCGGGGGCUCAACCACAGCGCUACCGCCAAAACUAUUAGACUAGAGUUCAGGGGAGGUAGGUGGAAUGCUUGGUGUAGGGGUGGAAUGCGUAGAGAUUAGGAGGAACACCAGGGGCGAAGGCGACUUACUGGACCGUAACUGACACUGAGGCGCGAAAGCGUGGGGAGCAAACAGGAUUAGAUACCCUUGUAGUC
Molecule: ribosomal RNA, 443 nt
Filed under: uncultured bacterium
Lineage: Bacteria
Description: partial 16S ribosomal RNA
Rfam family: Bacterial small subunit ribosomal RNA
Source: RNAcentral